GAUGAACGCUGGCGGCGUGCCUAAUACAUGCAAGUCGAACGGGCUCUUCGGAGCUAGUGGCGGACGGGUGAGUAACACGUUGGUACCUACCCUCUAGUGGGGAAUAACUGGCCGAAAGGUCGGCUAAUACCGCAUAACACCGCAAGGUUAAAGCAGAAAUGCGCUAGAGGAGGGGCCUGCGUCCGAUUAGCUAGUUGGUAGGGUAAUGGCUUACCAAGGCUACGAUCUGUAACCGGUCUUAGAGGACGGUCGGUCACACUGACACUGAAUAACGGGUCAGACUCCUACGGGAGGCAGCAGUCGGGAAUUUUGGGCAAUGGGCGAAAGCCUGACCCAGCAACGCCGCGUGAAGGAUGAAGUAUUUCGGUAUGUAAACUUACGAAAGAAUGGGAAGAAUCAAUGACGGUACCAUUUAUAAGGUCGGCUAACUACGUGCCAGCCGCCGCCGUAAC
RNAcentral lists this ribosomal RNA (452 nucleotides) under uncultured bacterium. Its description in RNAcentral is "bacterial SSU rRNA". It matches the Rfam family "Bacterial small subunit ribosomal RNA", at positions 28 to 524 of the family's 1533-position model. The record is from RNAcentral.